This 303-nucleotide ribosomal RNA is filed under the name uncultured bacterium. Its description in RNAcentral is "partial 16S ribosomal RNA". It matches the Rfam family "Bacterial small subunit ribosomal RNA", at positions 507 to 809 of the family's 1533-position model. The record is from RNAcentral.
AGCAGUCGCCGCGGGAAUACGUAGGGUGCAAGCGUUAAUCGGAAUUACUGGGCGUAAAGCGUGCGCAGGCGGUUAUAUAAGACAGAUGUGAAAUCCCCGGGCUCAACCUGGGAACUGCAUUUGUGACUGUAUAGCUAGAGUACGGCAGAGGGGGAUGGAAUUCCGCGUGUAGCAGUGAAAUGCGUAGAUAUGCGGAGGAACACCGAUGGCGAAGGCAAUCCCCUGGGCCUGUACUGACGCUCAUGCACGAAAGCGUGGGGAGCAAACAGGAUUAGAUACCCGCGUAGUCCCUGUCUCUUAUAA